GGACGCAGCAAACAGCGAAAUGCGACGGGGAGCAGUAAGCAUGCGAAGAGCCGUCGAUAUCCGAAUGGGGGAACCCACCCGGGAUAGAGACCGGGUAUCCUGGAGUGAAUAGAUAGCUCCAGAGAGGCGAGACUCAGGGAACUGAAACAUCUAAGUACCUGAAGGAAGAGAAAAUAAAGAAAUGAUUCCCUAAGUAGCGGCGAGCGAAAGGGGAAGAGCCCAAACCGGCAAGAGCCGGGGUAGUAGGGCUGUCAAAAAAGGGCAAGAAGACAUUAUAGGCGAACGGAAUGGGAAGUCCGGCGAAACAGGGUGACAGCCCCGUAGCCGAAAUAGUGAGGAAGUCCGAGACAGUACCUGAGUACGGCGGGACACGAGGAAUCCUGUCGGAAACAGCCAGGACCAUCUGGCAAGGCUAAAUACUACUCUGUGACCGAUAGUGAACCAGUACCGUGAGGGAAAGGUGAAAAGAACCCCGGGAGGGGAGUGAAAUAGAACCUGAAACCAUAUGCCUACAAGAAGUUAGAGCCCGUUAAAGGGUGAUAGCGUGCCUUUUGUAGAAUGAACCGGCGAGUUACGAUAUGGAGCGAGGUUAAGCAGGAUAUGCGGAGCCGAAGCGAAAGCGAGUCUUAAGAGGGCGAAAGUUGCAUGUCGUAGACCCGAAACCGGGUGAUCUAGCCAUGGCCAGGUUGAAGUUGGGGUAAAACCCGAUGGAGGACCGAACCGACCCCCGUUGAAACGUUGGCGGAUGAGCUGUGGCUAGGGGUGAAAUUCCAAUCGAACCCGGAGAUAGCUGGUUCUCCCCGAAAUAGCUUUAGGGCUAGCGUCGAGGCAAGUGAUGUGAAGGUAGAGCACUGAAUAUGUGAUGGCCCCAUCCCGGGGUACUGAAUAUAAUCAAACUCCGAAUGACACAUAAACAUCCUCGGCAGUCAGACAGUGGGUGAUAAGGUCCAGUGUCAAGAGGGAAACAGCCCAGACCAUCAGCUAAGGUCCCAAAAUAUAUACUAAGUGGAAAAGGAUGUGGAGAUGUCGAGACAACUAGGAGGUUGGCUCAGAAGCAGCCAUCCUUUAAAGAGUGCGUAACAGCUCACUAGUCGAAUGACUCUGCGCCGAUAAUUUACCGGGGCUAAGUAUAUUACCGAAGCUAUGGAUUUGCGCAAGCAAGUGGUAGGGGAGCGUUCUAUAUGCGGCGAAGGCGUACCGGAAGGAGCGCUGGAGCGUAUAGAAGAGAGAAUGCCGGUGUGAGUAGCGGAACGUGGGUGAGAAUCCCACGCACCGAAAACCCAAGGUUUCCAGAGGAAGGUUCGUCCGCUCUGGGUAAGUCGGGACCUAAGGCGAGGCCGAGAGGCGUAGCCGAUGGACAACAGGUGGAUAUUCCUGUACUUACGGUAUGAAUGAAGGAGUGACGGAGAAGGCUAGGUGAUCCUGCUGCUGGAAAAGCAGGUGCAAGCGAGGUAGCUGACAGCCAGGCAAAUCCGGCUGUCAUAAAGGCGAAGGCGUGAUGCGUAUGGAAAGCCGAGGCAAGUACAGAAGUCAUUGAAGCCAGCUUCCAAGAAAAGCUUCUAGUGCGAAUCAUACAGUAACCCGUACCGAAAAUGGACACACAUGGGUGAGGAGAGAAUCCUAAG
This 1625-nucleotide ribosomal RNA is filed under the name Erysipelatoclostridium sp. An173. RNAcentral's name for it is "Bacterial large subunit ribosomal RNA". It matches the Rfam family "Bacterial large subunit ribosomal RNA", at positions 54 to 1685 of the family's 2925-position model. The record is from Rfam by way of RNAcentral. Lineage: Bacteria; Bacillati; Bacillota; Erysipelotrichia; Erysipelotrichales; Coprobacillaceae.